GUCCCAAACAGUCAGACAUGACUGAAGUUAGUUCACACAUAUGCACACAAAGAGAUUCUGCAGAGGAGUCUCAGAUGAGAAGUUUGUCCUGGGUCACUCAGAUGGACCUAGUAUAAUCCCAGGGGUCCUUAAAAGAUGAAAAAGAGUGCCAAGAGGGUAAGAAAAGGAGACAGGAGGAUGGAAACAGAGGUUGGAGGGGUGUAACUGCUGGAAGGGGCAUAAACUGAGGAUUCAGGAGUCCCUGGACCUGGAAAGGACAGACAAACAGAUUCUCCCUUAGAGCUGCUGGAGGCAGGGUGAUCCCCUGAUGCUUCUCUUGGCUCAGGAAAACCCAUUCUGGACUGCUGACCUCCAAAUGUAUGUAAGAUAAUACUUCUUGGCCGUCUUAAGCCACUUAGUAUGCAACAAUUUGUUACAGCAGCCAGAGGAAACUCAUACAAAGAGAGAAACCAUGAUGGCUUGAUGUAAGAAAACAAAAUGGAAAAAAAAAAUGCUUAAGAAAAGGAGCAAGAGAGGCAAGAUAGAAGGAACCGGAGACAAGGAGCCGGGCCUGUGAGGGGGAAGGGCUGGGCACUGGAGGCUGCUCUGUCCUGGGUGCCUGAGGCGGGGAGGACAUGGGUACAGGGCAGUGUGGUGAAGGGAGCGGGAGGGUGCUGAGCCCAAAGACAGCUAGGCCAUCUUCUGCCUCCCCAUCUCAGCCUGUGUUCCUGGAGAGCAGAGCCGAGCCAGGUGUCAGUGUGAGCGGUUAAGCUGAGAGUGAAGGAUGGGAGCGAGAGAGGAUCAAACAGAGGAGUGGGAGGUGAGCUGGGAUGCAGUACUGAGGCUGUUACCAGCAGAGAGCCCACUGCCCGAGUCCUGACUAGGGCACCAGCUCCUGAGGAAAGAGCUUUAUCGUAGGUCAACUAUAGGCAAGGAGUCAGGAAGCAGGGCUCGAAUCCAUCUCCAGAUCCAGGGUUUGGGAUGAAAUCUAAGGGACUGGGGGAAAUUUCAAACUUGGAAGUGAAGUCCUGAGUUAGAAUCGUUUCACCUGGCAUCACUAAUCAAGGUUGCUUCAAGACUUGCAUGUUCUCCAAGGGGUGUGUGUGUGUGUACACUCAGUCAUGGCCAACUCUUUUGUGACCGCAUGGACUGUAAUCCUCCAGGCUCCUCUGCCCAUGGGAUCCUCCAGAUGGACAGCUGCCCUGAGAAUCUGAGUGCUGCGUGGAGACCAAAGGCCAUUUGGAGGGAGGUCUCCCCCGACUUGGUCAUAGAAUACCAGGAGACAGAGAGGAAUGGCACCAGGAGAGCACAAUGAACUGACAUAAAUCCUGUCCGUGUACUAACACUCUGACCCCAGUAAGAAGAUGGAUGAGAACAGUGAUUUCAAACAGCACGGGAAGCCCUGAGCAGGUUAGCGCUUCUUCUGGGAAAAAGGCAUUCAUUGUUUCAACUGUUCAUUCAACCAACUUCACUGCCCCCUGUACAGGCAGCGGUGGGAUGCAGAAGCUGGGGACGUGGGCUCUGAGGCCAGUCGCCUGGAUCCUGUUCUCAGGCCUGUGACCGUGCAUUAGUAGUAUACCUGUGCAAGGUUAGUGGGCGCCGUUUCUCCUGUGAAAUAGGAUUAAUGGCAUGCGGUCAUUGUGAGGAUUAAACGAGAAUUCAUGGACCUGCUUAAGGACGAUGUCUGACAUUUAGUAAGUACUUAACAAUGUUAGCUGUUACAGCAGAUACAUAGCCGCUGUACAGAUACUUGGAUCUUGGAAAGGGCAGGCUCUUGUCUGUAGAGGUAAGAUUCAGAGUUAUUGCUUGGCAGAACCUGGUUCUGAGUCAUGAUAUAGGAGACUCGUCCUGGGCCUCAUAACUAGUCGUGACCACCUCAUUCUCUCUGGCUGGCCGGUGGUCUAGGAAUGGCCCUGAUGCAGAGUUCUGGCCAAAGAGAUACAAAUGGGUACCUUCUUGCUGACACUCCUGGAAAAUCUUGCUUUCCUGAUUUAAAACCAGACAACAACAAAAACCAGAAGACCUUUUGGCCUGGAACACAUUUAUGAUGCUUGGAGGUAGAGCAGCCAUUUUAUGACUCUGAGGUCACAGAAUGAAGACAAAAGCUGUUGUGCUAAAGGUGAUUUUUUUUUUUUUUUUAAAGAACCCAGUUCUUUAAGGGUAUAUUUAAGUAACUCCACCAGAUUACCUACCCCCAAACUUCUUACCAAA
Bubalus bubalis (water buffalo) is the source of this 2190-nucleotide long non-coding RNA. RefSeq lists it as uncharacterized. Lineage: Eukaryota; Metazoa; Chordata; Mammalia; Artiodactyla; Bovidae. The record is from RefSeq and is a predicted model, not a curated record. The transcript has 3 exons.